This 67-nucleotide transfer RNA is filed under the name Sciopemyia fluviatilis. RNAcentral's name for it is "tRNA-His". Lineage: Eukaryota; Metazoa; Arthropoda; Insecta; Diptera; Psychodidae. The record is from RNAcentral.
AAUUUAAAUAGUUUAAUAAAUAAAAUUUUGAUUUGUGGCAUCAAAGAUAUAUAAUAUAUUUUAAAUC